This 302-nucleotide unclassified non-coding RNA is filed under the name Hevea brasiliensis (rubber tree). Lineage: Eukaryota; Viridiplantae; Streptophyta; Magnoliopsida; Malpighiales; Euphorbiaceae. The record is from RNAcentral.
UUGAUCACUUCUGUCACCCUCCUCAUCUGAUUCGAAACCCUUUGCGUUCGAUUCUGAUUCCUCGCAGAGAGAUGGCAGUGAUGUGGGAGAGAAAGGCUUGCUGUGCUUUUGAACGUUCACUGUUCUGUUUCUAUGUUCCUCCACUAUCCUCUCUAGGAAUCUCCGUUGGGCUUCAAUUUUCAUCUUCAAGCUCUUUUGAACCUCAAGUUGAUCACUCAGUCGUCUUUGCACUUCCAUCUGCAUUUUUAAUGCUUCAUUAAGUUGAGCACCUGAUGUUGCACUGAAAUUUGGCAGCAAUUCUG